GAGUUUGAUCGUGGCUCAGAUUGAACGCUGGCGGCAGGCCUAACACAUGCAAGUCGAGCGGAUGACGGGAGCUUGCUCCUUGAUUCAGCGGCGGACGGGUGAGUAAUGCCUAGGAAUCUGCCUGGUAGUGGGGGACAACGUUUCGAAAGGAACGCUAAUACCGCAUACGUCCUACGGGAGAAAGCAGGGGACCUUCGGGCCUUGCGCUAUCAGAUGAGCCUAGGUCGGAUUAGCUAGUUGGUGGGGUAAUGGCUCACCAAGGCGACGAUCCGUAACUGGUCUGAGAGGAUGAUCAGUCACACUGGAACUGAGACACGGUCCAGACUCCUACGGGAGGCAGCAGUGGGGAAUAUUGGACAAUGGGCGAAAGCCUGAUCCAGCCAUGCCGCGUGUGUGAAGAAGGUCUUCGGAUUGUAAAGCACUUUAAGUGGGAGGAAGGGCAGUAAGUUAAUACCUUGCUGUUUUGACGUUACCGACAGAAUAAGCACCGGCUAACUCUGUGCCAGCAG
This 509-nucleotide ribosomal RNA is filed under the name bacterium enrichment culture clone ALO1_GLFRUDD03HD1M8. RNAcentral describes it as "bacterial SSU rRNA". It matches the Rfam family "Bacterial small subunit ribosomal RNA", at positions 9 to 514 of the family's 1533-position model. The record is from RNAcentral.